GCCAGAUGGGCUACAGUCUAUAUAUCACAGACUCAGACACAACUGAAGCGACUUAGCACGCACACAACCUGACUUGGAAUCUCGGCUCUGCUGUUUUUGUCGAGGAACGAGGAAAGAGACGGCUUUUCCAAACAGGAGCGCCAGCACCAGAGAAGAGGCCUCAAGUGAGCAGCGGUUCAGAAAGCUCCUUUGGGCUCGGAAAGAAAGCAUCCCUGGGGAUGGGGUGGGUGGCCCUUUCAUGCUUAGGGGGAAAGGCCAGCCUGGGACAGCUCGUCCCCUGAGCAGUUCAGGGCCCCUGAUCUCUCUGCAGUCAUGGCAAGGUCACCCUGGCACAGCAUUAAGAGUAAAGGGAGCUCCUUGCCAGGAAGACCGCACCCUGGAGACAGAAGCCCCGCCCAGCUCCCCCCAGGGGCCCGUUCACUUCAUCCCAAGCGGAGGCUGGUCCCGCGUCCUGGUCCCAGGUGUGCCGUGGGCCCCCACAUCCUACGUGCAGGGAGAAUAACCUGAACAUAACAGAGUUGAAUUCCUUUCUCCUGGUACUUUGGAAAUUAUCACUCUUUUCUCCCUUGGGGGGUGUGCUCUCUCUGACACGUGUUGUUCCUUUGAUUUGUUUCCCUGGCAAUAAAGACAGAAGACUGAAGGCACCAUCA
Molecule: long non-coding RNA, 650 nt
Organism: Capra hircus (goat)
Lineage: Eukaryota; Metazoa; Chordata; Mammalia; Artiodactyla; Bovidae
Exons: 2
Source: RefSeq, a predicted model, not a curated record